This 3347-nucleotide long non-coding RNA is filed under the name Mytilus galloprovincialis (Mediterranean mussel). The record is from RNAcentral. Lineage: Eukaryota; Metazoa; Mollusca; Bivalvia; Mytilida; Mytilidae.
UGCAGUUUUAUUAUACAACAGAAGUAGAUCCUCUGAGCUUCUAACAAAGCACAUUUCAACAAGAUAACAAAAGCUACUAUUUCUGAUAUGGAAUAUGCACAACCUUUCGUUGUACAUCUUAUCGUUGACUGUACAUUCUCCUAUUAAAAAUAUAUAGUUGUACAUUCAUAAACUCCUUCACUUGUGUUCUUCUAUGUUAAAAAAUUAAACCAUAUUUUUUUACAAUUUAUAUGGUUUAAAUUAACAAGAAUGAAAAUAAAAGAAAUAUUGUUACCAAGGCUCCUAUAUUUAGUUUUGAAUCACUGGGAUAGGUACAUUUUGAUCAUUAUUAAUAAUAGAUACUGUAACAAACACACAAACAUGAAAGAAUGUACAUUUAGGGAAACUCUUUAAUAUUCCUGAGCUGUUACAAUUGAAGCGUCUAAAACAUCUAAAACAAUAUCUAAAAUACAUAUAUUUUUUUUUUAUGGUUUGAUAAAUUUUCUAUUAUUUCCAUUUGAUAAAAUUCUUGAAUUUGUACACGAUGUCAUACACUGUGCCUUAAAAACUGAACUUUUUUCUUGAGUUCCAUUUUAUGAAUUACUAAGAAGUGUUAAAGAAAUAUCUUAGUGUUAAUAAUAAAUCAAAAUCGAUUACUACAGAAAAAAAGGUAAUUACAAAUAUGUUUCCUUUUUAUGAACUUAUAUCUUUCUAUUCUUCUUUUUAAAUGAUCAACCAUUCUAAAUUUUCUUUUUUUCAUUUCUCUUCUCAUAUUAACAUAAAGAAACAAGCCUCUUAGCUUAGAACAAUUAAGCUUUAAAUGCUAAAUUCAAAAAUAAGAAGAUAACCUAGGCAGAAAAGACAGCAAACAAUUAUUAUCAAGAAACCUUUAUUUUUAAAUCUACUCGGGAAAUCAGCAAAUAUCUUUGUAGUUUUUUUUUUCUUUCUUUCUGUUUGGCUAUGGUUUCUAAGUAGAUAUUUAUUACAGUGUAGGGAGUAUUUCGAAUAUGCUUUUCUAACUUAGGCAAGAUUUACACAUUUUUCACAAUUUGAAUGAACAGAACAGCCAAUUACAGACGACAAGCUGCCCUUUCACUCUAUGACCCUAUUUACAUAUACAAUACAAUCUUAAUAGUAUACAUUAAUACAAAAUUCCACUUCAGUUUUGUUUUAAAAUGCACACUAUAUAUGGAAUUAGAAUUACAAACAUAAAUAAAUGAAUAUUAAAUAAUUAGCACUAAUUGUGUUAUAUGACUGUCCAUUGUGUUCCACUACAGAUAAAAACCUGAGGUAGAGUAUGUUUGAGGUAUACCUAUAAAGUGGAAACAUUCUUUAAUAUCAUUAAAAUAAAAUGAAUUCCUUCUAUUAGCUACUUUAAGGUGGUACCUAACACUUUCACUAAAAUUAAUUUGGCUUGUUUAAUUUUGAUAAAAUUUUGACAAAGUAUUUACUUUGACCCUUUAACAAAAAUAUAAAAAUUUCAAAAAUUUUGAACCAACCAUUUUAUCAGGAAAAUUACACUGGUUAUAUAGCAGUUUGACAAACUCUAAUUUUGAUCUUUCAGAAGCUUAUUAUUCCCUUUACAACACAACGUUAUUAAAACGUUUAGCUGAUUUUACAGAGUUAUCUCCCUGUAGUGUUAGGUACCACCUUAAAUCAAAAGGUAGCAUAACCUACAAAUAAUCAAAAGAACUGGAGUUACUGUGGUCCUUCCAGGGCUUGAUAGUGCCAUUGUCAUGGGGUGCUUUAUGAAGAGAUUUUACGAUAUAAUGUUAUAAAUGUGGAGCUAUAAUAUUUAGGGAAAUAUUAAUAAUUCAAUUCUCAUGGGGCUUUAUGAAUAGUUUUAUUGAAUAAUAUAUGAUUAUCAUAAAUAAGGUGCUAUAAUUAAAGGAAAACACUACUAUUUCAAAUCAAAUUGAGUUAUUUGAAAAUAGUAAGGAAAACAUAUGAGUCUCAAGUAUGACUGUAUGUGCAAUAUCUAAAAUAAUGAUUUUAUACAAUUGUCAACUCUUUUGGCAGAAUUUAGUAUUGCAAUGAUAUACCUGACAUUUUCACUUUUAUUUUAAUCUCUAUGGUAAAUUACAAGUAUUUUCAUAUUUUAAAAAGGCCUAAAUGCUAAAUCCCAGAAAAUGCAGACCCACCCAACCCAACCCCCCAACCCCUUUUCCAAUACAUACCUUUGUUAAAUAAUAAUAUAAUAAUGAGAAUGCAAAAUCAAAUAUUGUAAAAGUUGGAACAAGGGAUGAUUUUACCUCCUAAUAUGAACAAACAAUUUGCUCUGACUUUGAUGUUUAUAGAUUUUCAAAUAGUUUACCCUAAUGACAACUUCAACAAACAUUACAAAACUUAAGGAUUACAAAAUGCCAUGUGCAAGGUUUUUUUUUUGAGAUGAUGGAAUCAUCUUGAAUUUUAUUACAGUUCAGAUGUCAUUUUUAAUAAAACAUCUUAAGAAAAGUUAAAAACAUAUUCAUACAUUCUGAAGACAAAUAAAAAGAUUUCAUUUUCCCCUGAAAUUAACAUAAGUUUGACUUCUGGGCAAACAUGUUAAAAGUAAUCUUUGAUAUUCAAAGAGCAUUGAAAUCUCUUGAACCAGGGCAUGAUAUGUUCAUGUUUCAAUUCAUUACUUGUAUUGGCACAUUUGAUUCUGACUGUUGUUGUGACCAAUUUAUAAUAUUGUGGAUACUGGACUAGAUUCCUCAACUUAGUAACAACCCUUUUUUUAUAUAAAUAUUCAUUAAUUUUAUGGUGUGUUUCUCCUUUUUGAACAAUCUUCCUCUCAUUGUAUGGGAUUUAUAUGCAGUAAAAAUACCAAAUAAAUAUAUCAUCCAUUAGCUUAAAGUGUUUGUGGAAUUGAUGUUUUCUAAAAACAAUAAAGCCGAACUCAAUAAAAGUUAUGUUUUGAGUUUUAAUUGCUAUUGCAGUAAAAAUUACAUUCUGCAAUGAACAUUAACAAAUUUCAAAAUAAGCUAUUAACAUUCAAAAUAUCAAUUUUGCAUUGCAAUAAAAAUACAUGAUACUUUUAAUUGGACAGGGAAAUACUGAGAGUGCUAAUCAAGAGUUUACUGAACCUAGAUAAAAUCAAAACAAAAAUAUAUUAAUUCACUUGUAGUUCUGAAAGCUGUUAAUACCAAUAAUCAUUGGGACAUUGAUUGAAAGUGACAAAAUCAACAAUUCUUCUGUAUAGGCUGUGAAAGAACAACCUUGGACACAAAUUGUAAAUAAUUGAAAAUGUUUUCAUUUCAAAUUUAAAAAUUACAAGUUGAAAUUCCCAAAAACAAAACAUUUUUUUACUGAAUAAAAUUCUUGAAUCUUUGCUCAUUGAGUUCACAUACUUCAAAACUAUCAUUGAGUGUAUGUUUCUUAUACAG